This 1058-nucleotide long non-coding RNA is filed under the name Olea europaea subsp. europaea. The record is from RNAcentral. Lineage: Eukaryota; Viridiplantae; Streptophyta; Magnoliopsida; Lamiales; Oleaceae.
CGAGUGUGGAAAAUGUUCUCCGUUGCAACUCCAAGUCAUCCGCUUUGACGUGAGUAGUGAGAGCUCGCUUUGUGACUAGUAGAUCCCCAACCGGUCCUUCAAAUUUUUCUUCUUCAUUAACACCCGUUCCCAAACACCUAAAACAUUUGAUGUCCCAAUUGCGCGACGGUUGUGCCUCCGGUUUUGAUAUUGAUUUGCUAGCGUUUUCAUCUUUGCCCUUUUGCCAAUCAUUUUUACCUCUAGGUGUAGCCCCGUUUUUAUUGUUAUCAUCCCACUUCGAUUUCCAUGUUAGAUUAGGAGUCGAAGUACCUAACGGUUGCCUAGAUGUCCCCUUCCUCUUCAAUUGCCUCUCGACCUUCAUUGCCACAUGUAACAUGUCCUCGAUUUCCACAUAAUGUUGCAACUCUACAAUGUUUGCAAUAUCCCGAUUUAACCCAUUCAAGAACCGUGCCAUGGUAGCUUCCCGAUCUUCCUCCACAUUAGCCCGAAUCGUAAAAAUUUCCAUCUCCUUGUGAUAAUCCUCUACGCUUUUCGAUCCUUGGUACAAACCCUAUAAUUUUUGAUGGAUUUCCCUAUAAUAGUGACUCGGAACAAACCUCAUCCUCAUCAACAUCUUCAACUCAUCCCAAGUGCUAAUUGGCCUUUCUCGACCCCUACGCCGUGAUGUCAGUACUUGAUCCCACCAAGAUAUCGCGUAAUCCACAAAUUCAAGCACCGCCAAUUUUAUCUUUUUCUCCUCCGAAUAAUUAUAGCACUCGAAAAUCAUCUCAACCUUCCUUUCCCAAUCUAAAUAUGCUUCCGGAUCGCUUUUCCCCUUAAAUUGCGGAAUAGUCAUUUUAAUACUUCCCAAAUUUCCAUCUACUUCAUCUCCCAAGUUAUUUCUACCCCGUCUUUCCAUCCUAUCGCCCCUAUGCCUCGCUCGACCCAUAUCAAUGUCAUUUUCAUCAAAAUCAUCCACAUCACUAUGAUACUCAUCCCGCCUUCCUCUCCUAGAUUAACGCCUACCCGGCCCCCUAGCAUUAGACAUCUCCACUUGUCCCCGGCUAAGAUUAGCAAUU